CGUACACUCCUGCGGGAGGCAGCAGUGGGGAAUAUUGCACAAUGGGCGCAAGCCUGAUGCAGCCAUGCCGCGUGUAUGAAGAAGGCCUUCGGGUUGUAAAGUACUUUCAGCGGGGAGGAAGGCGAUAAGGUUAAUAACCUUGUUGAUUGACGUUACCCGCAGAAGAAGCACCGGCUAACUCCGUGCCAGCAGCCGCGGUAAUACGGAGGGUGCAAGCGUUAAUCGGAAUUACUGGGCGUAAAGCGCACGCAGGCGGUCUGUUAAGUCGGAGGUGAAAUCCCCGGGCUCAACCUGGGAACUGCAUUCGAAACUGGCAGGCUAGAGUCUUGUAGAGGGGGGUAGAAUUCCAGGUGUAGCGGUGAAAUGCGUAGAGAUCUGGAGGAAUACCGGUGGCGAAGGCGGCCCCCUGGACAAAGACUGACGCUCAGGUGCGAAAGCGUGGGGAGCAAACAGGAUUAGAAACCCUAGUAGUCCCA
RNAcentral lists this ribosomal RNA (476 nucleotides) under uncultured organism. RNAcentral describes it as "partial 16S ribosomal RNA". It matches the Rfam family "Bacterial small subunit ribosomal RNA", at positions 330 to 797 of the family's 1533-position model. The record is from RNAcentral.